CGUUGAAACACCGUUUCUCGUAAGAUCGCUGACGUUAAGCAACGUCGAGCUUGUUCAAUACCUAGAUGGGUGACCCCUUGAAAAUAGCAAGUGCGGUAAG
Non-coding RNA from Acanthosepion pharaonis, 100 nucleotides. Lineage: Eukaryota; Metazoa; Mollusca; Cephalopoda; Sepiida; Sepiidae. The record is from the annotation of a GenBank genome assembly.